This 766-nucleotide ribosomal RNA is filed under the name uncultured bacterium. RNAcentral's name for it is "bacterial SSU rRNA". It matches the Rfam family "Bacterial small subunit ribosomal RNA", at positions 580 to 1343 of the family's 1533-position model. The record is from RNAcentral.
UUGUUAAGUUUGGUGUUAAAGAUUGGGGCUCAACCCUGAAACUGCACUGAAUACUGGCAGACUCGAGUGUGGUAGAGGCUAGUGGAAUUCCCAGUGUAGCGGUGAAAUGCGUAGAUAUUGGGAAGAACACCGGUGGCGUAGGCGACUAGCUGGGCCAUAACUGACACUGAGGAACGAAAGCCAGGGGAGCGAAUGGGAUUAGAUACCCCAGUAGUCCUGGCCGUAAACGAUGGAUACUAGGCGUAUCGGGUAUCGACCCCUGAUGUGCCGCAGCUAACGCGAUAAGUAUCCCGCCUGAGUAGUACGGCCGCAAGGUUGAAACUCAAAGGAAUUGACGGGGGCCCGCACAAGCGGUGGAACAUGUGGUUUAAUUCGAAGCAACGCGAAGAAUCUUACCAGGGCUUGACAUGGUAGGAACCUUUAGGAAACUAGAGGGUGCCCGCAAGGGAGCCUACACACAGCUGGUGCAUGGCUGUCGUCAGCUCGUGUCGUGAGAUGCUGGGUUAAGUCCCGCAACGAGCGCAACCCCCGUUGUUAGUUGCCAUCAGGUAAUGCUGGGCACUCUAGCGAGACUGCCGGUGACAAACCGGAGGAAGGUGGGGACGACGUCAAGUCAUCAUGCCCCUUAUGCCCUGGGCUACACACGUGUUACAAUGGUUGGGACAAUGUGAUGCAAUCCCGCGAGGGGGAGCGAACCACCAAACCCAAUCUCAGUUCGGAUCGCAGGCUGCAACUCGCCUGCGUGAAGUCGGAAUCGCUAGUAACC